AGAGUUUGAUCAUGGCUCAGAAUCAACGCUGGCGGCGUGCCUCAGACAUGCAAGUCGAACGAUUAAAGCUCUCUUCGGAGAGUGUAUAGAGUGGCGCACGGGUGAGUAACACGUAAGUAAUCUACCCUCGAGUGGGGAAUAACAACCGGAAACGGUUGCUAAUACCGCAUAAUGCAGCGGCACCGCAAGGUGACAGUUGUUAAAGAUUUAUCGCUUGAGGAGGAGCUUGCGGCAGAUUAGCUAGUUGGUAGGGUAACGGCUUACCAAGGCUACGAUCUGUAACCGGUCUAAGAGGACGGUCGGUCACACUGACACUGAAUAACGGGUCAGACUCCUACGGGAGGCAGCAGUCGGGAAUUUUGGGCAAUGGGCGAAAGCCUGACCCAGCAACGCCGCGUGAAGGAUGAAGUAUUUCGGUAUGUAAACUUCGAAAGAAUAGGAAGAAUUAAUGACAGUACUAUUUAUAAGGUCCGGCUAACUACGUG
Molecule: ribosomal RNA, 485 nt
Filed under: uncultured bacterium
Lineage: Bacteria
Description: bacterial SSU rRNA
Rfam family: Bacterial small subunit ribosomal RNA
Source: RNAcentral